Molecule: non-coding RNA, 46 nt
Filed under: Schistosoma mansoni
Lineage: Eukaryota; Metazoa; Platyhelminthes; Trematoda; Strigeidida; Schistosomatidae
Source: RNAcentral
GUACUGCUGAGGAGGCCCAUAAUAGAACGAAACGGCCGUCCAGUGU